Molecule: ribosomal RNA, 324 nt
Filed under: uncultured bacterium
Lineage: Bacteria
Description: bacterial SSU rRNA
Rfam family: Bacterial small subunit ribosomal RNA
Source: RNAcentral
GAUGAACGCUGGCGGCGUGCCUAACACAUGCAAGUCGAGCGAAGCAUUUUAAAGGAAGUUUUCGGAUGGAAUUUGAAAUGACUGAGCGGCGGACGGGUGAGUAACGCGUGGGUAACCUGCCUCAUACAGGGGGAUAACAGUUAGAAAUGACUGCUAAUACCGCAUAAGCACACAGUACCGCAUGGUACGGUGUGAAAAACUCCGGUGGUAUGAGAUGGACCCGCGUCUGAUUAGCUAGUUGGUGGGGUAACGGCCUACCAAGGCGACGAUCAGUAGCCGGCCUGAGAGGGUGAACGGCCACAUUGGGACUGAGACACGGCCCAA